UCUCCAUAACAAAAGUCUCUUUUAUUUUUUGAAAUCUUAUGUGAUACUACUAUACUAGUGACAGUAAUUCAACCAAAAACGGCUUCUUUGCUAAGGAUUCUGCUAAUUGAGAAAGGAUUCAAUUGAUAUUUAAAUGUAGGUUUGAGUAAAGGCUUUCACUGGAAGAAGAAAUUCGUUAAUAAUGAAAGAUGUUUUCACAGCAUGACUGAUCCCUGGUAUGUAGUAAAUCACUUAUAAUAGCUCUCUCACACAGUGCCAAAGGAAAUGAGUUAUGAUUUAUGUCAUUGAUGUUGAUCUUUAUGAGUUUAUGGCACAUACUCAAGAUUUUGAAUAUAACUGUUUUUGAAAUUGUAGUUUUUUUGUAUGCAACGAUUUUUUUUUUUUUUUUCUGGAUUUAUUACUGUGUAACAUUUUAUAGAGUUCACUGCAUUUUGAUUGGCCUUAAACAGAAGAACUGUCAGUAAUCAUGGCCAACAUUAAUGCAGAAGUUUUUUAUGUGGCAAAGGUACAUUCCUCGAGAGUCCUUCAGAGGGUAGCUAGCCAUCAUAGCAAUACCACAUAACUGUUGUCACACUAGAUCAGCACUUCAUCUUGAGCUUCACACCAGCUAGUGCCCCAAGAAUUUGUCACAAGUCAGUAUUCUUGGCCUUUUCUUCACAUACCAAAUCCAAGGAUCCAACUACUGUUACACCGUGAUUCAAGAUGUCGCCAUAAUUGCCAAAAUAGACACCUUUAGAGGAGAGUUGAGCUUCCUCAUCGUUUGGUUUAUCGCUGAGCAGCCAUUUAUUCCAACUGAAAGAGUCCAUCCAAGAAGCAGUAUGGUAUCUAUUUCAAUAACUACUAUGAGCUAUCUCACUCUGAUUUUAUGCAAGAAAUUGAGCUGCAUAUAUAAGAGACAUGCAAAACAACUGGAAAAGGUAUGUACACCAUUGCACUAGACCUUACACUCUAUUGAAAGAUCAUUUAACAGUACUUCUGGGUGGCAAAGUUCAUAAUUUUCAUACCGCAACUUCCCUGAUUUUGGCUGGAGUUACAGCACCGCUCUCUCUCCAGUGAACGCUGUCUGGCAAUCUAACGCCAUGGUUGUGUGGCUUAAAACUUAUUGUUUGUGAUAUCUGCAAACUGAUUAUCGCUGAUGAGUUUGUACAAAAGGUUCAGACCAUUGAGGAUAACUCAAGUAGAUAGAUUGAAACCAUGUUUGUAUUAGCAUGUAAGAUUGUGCAGCAUGAAUGCUUGGUCAUUGAGGAUACCAGAUGUUCUGGUAAUUCAGUUAAGUACCCCUGCAACUGUUUCUUUCUUUGAUUCAA
Long non-coding RNA from Ipomoea nil (Japanese morning glory), 1307 nucleotides. RefSeq lists it as uncharacterized. The record is from RefSeq and is a predicted model, not a curated record. Lineage: Eukaryota; Viridiplantae; Streptophyta; Magnoliopsida; Solanales; Convolvulaceae. The transcript is spliced from 2 exons.